Molecule: ribosomal RNA, 599 nt
Filed under: Klebsiella pneumoniae
Lineage: Bacteria; Pseudomonadati; Pseudomonadota; Gammaproteobacteria; Enterobacterales; Enterobacteriaceae
Also listed under: 1 other name
Description: partial 16S ribosomal RNA
Rfam family: Bacterial small subunit ribosomal RNA
Source: RNAcentral
AAAUUGAAGAGUUUGAUCAUGGCUCAGAUUGAACGCUGGCGGCAGGCCUAACACAUGCAAGUCGAGCGGUAGCACAGAGAGCUUGCUCUCGGGUGACGAGCGGCGGACGGGUGAGUAAUGUCUGGGAAACUGCCUGAUGGAGGGGGAUAACUACUGGAAACGGUAGCUAAUACCGCAUAAUGUCGCAAGACCAAAGUGGGGGACCUUCGGGCCUCAUGCCAUCAGAUGUGCCCAGAUGGGAUUAGCUAGUAGGUGGGGUAAUGGCUCACCUAGGCGACGAUCCCUAGCUGGUCUGAGAGGAUGACCAGCCACACUGGAACUGAGACACGGUCCAGACUCCUACGGGAGGCAGCAGUGGGGAAUAUUGCACAAUGGGCGCAAGCCUGAUGCAGCCAUGCCGCGUGUGUGAAGAAGGCCUUCGGGUUGUAAAGCACUUUCAGCGGGGAGGAAGGCGAUAAGGUUAAUAACCUUGUCGAUUGACGUUACCCGCAGAAGAAGCACCGGCUAACUCCGUGCCAGCAGCCGCGGUAAUACGGAGGGUGCAAGCGUUAAUCGGAAUUACUGGGCGUAAAGCGCACGCAGGCGGUCUGUCAAGUCGG